This 329-nucleotide ribosomal RNA is filed under the name uncultured Oscillospiraceae bacterium. Its description in RNAcentral is "partial 16S ribosomal RNA". Lineage: Bacteria; Bacillati; Bacillota; Clostridia; Eubacteriales; Oscillospiraceae. The record is from RNAcentral.
GGAGUUUGGGCCGUGUCUCAGUCCCAAUGUGGCCGUUCACUCUCUCAAGCCGGCUACUGAUCGCAGCCUUGGUGAGCCGUUACCCCACCAACUAGCUAAUCAGAUGUGAGCCCAUCUUUCAGCGGAUUGCUCCUUUGGUAUCCAGGCGAUGCCGCCCGAAUACUUUAUGCGGUAUUAGCAGCCGUUUCCAGCUGUUGUCCCCCUCUGAAAGGCAGGUUGCUCACACAUUACUCACCCGUCCGCCACUAAGUCAAAUCCCUCUUCGACGAAUCUCCGAGGAAAGUGCUUCGUUCGACUUGCAUGUGUUAGGCACGCCGCCAGCGUUCAUC